RNAcentral lists this ribosomal RNA (428 nucleotides) under uncultured prokaryote. Its description in RNAcentral is "bacterial SSU rRNA". It matches the Rfam family "Bacterial small subunit ribosomal RNA", at positions 355 to 774 of the family's 1533-position model. The record is from RNAcentral.
UGAGGAAUCUUGCGCAAUGGGGGCAACCCUGACGCAGCAACGCCGCGUGAGUGAGGAAGGUCUUCGGAUUGUAAAGCUCUGUCAGAUGGAAAGAACCGCAUGGGGGUAAAUAGCUCUCAUGCCUGACGGUACCAUCAGAGGAAGCACCGGCUAACUCCGUGCCAGCAGCCGCGGUAAUACGGGGGGUGCAAGCGUUGUUCGGAAUUAUUGGGCGUAAAGAGCGGGUAGGCGGCCUGAUGUGUCAGAUGGGAAAGCCCUGGGCUCAACCCAGGAAGUGCAUGUGAAACUGUCAGGCUUGAGUAGGGGAGAGGGAAGUGGAAUGCCUGGUGUAGAGGUGAAAUUCGUAGAUAUCAGGAGGAACACCGGUGGCGAAGGCGACUUCCUGGCCCUAUACUGACGCUGAGACGCGAGAGCGUGGGUAGCAAACA